UCAAGUUUUUAAGAGCACACGGUGGAUGCCUUGGCAUUAGGAGCCGAAGAAGGACGUAGGAAUCUGCGAUAAGCCUCGGGGAGUUGAUAACCGAACGGUGAUCCGAGGAUGUCCGAAUGGGGAAACCCCGCCACGCGCUGCAAGGUGACGUGGUGACCCAUGCCUGAACACAUAGGGCAUGUGGAGGGAACGUGGGGAAGUGAAACAUCUCAGUACCCACAGGAAGAGAAAACAAUAGUGAUUCCGUCAGUAGUGGCGAGCGAACGCGGACGAGGCUAAACCGGUCCAUGUGUGAUAGCCGGCGGGCGUUGCAUGGUCGGGGUUGUGGGACUUUCCAUUCCAGUUCUGCCGGACUGGUGAGGUGAGAGUGUAGGCAUAGGUGAACGGUCUUGAAAGGCCGACCGGAGAGGGUGCAAGUCCCGUAACCGAAAUGCUUGUUACACCGCCUGGAGAGUAUCCCAAGUAGCACGGGGCCCGAGAAAUCCCGUGCGAAUCUGUCAGGACCACCUGAUAAGCCUAAAUACUACCUAAUGACCGAUAGCGGACAAGUACCGUGAGGGAAAGGUGAAAAGUACCCCGGGAGGGGAGUGAAAUAGUACCUGAAACCGUGUGCUUACAAACCGUCAGAGCAGGCUUGGUUCCUGUGAUGGCGUGCCUUUUGAAGAAUGAGCCUGCGAGUUAGUGUUACGUCGCGAGGUUAACCCGUGUGGGGAAGCCGUAGCGAAAGCGAGUCUGAAUAGGGCGAGUGAGUGGCGUGAUCUAGACCCGAAGCGAAGUGAUCUACCCAUGGCCAGGUUGAAGCGACGGUAAGACGUCGUGGAGGACCGAACCCACUUCAGUUGAAAAUGGAGGGGAUGAGCUGUGGGUAGGGGUGAAAGGCCAAUCAAACUUCGUGAUAGCUGGUUCUCCCCGAAAUGCAUUUAGGUGCAGCGUUGCGUGUUUCUUGCCGGAGGUAGAGCUACUGGAUGGCCGAUGGGCCCUACAAGGUUACUGACGUCAGCCAAACUCCGAAUGCCGGCAAGUGAGAGCGCAGCAGUGAGACUGUGGGGGAUAAGCUUCAUAGUCGAGAGGGAAACAGCCCAGACCACCAACUAAGGCCCCUAAGCGUGUGCUAAGUGGGAAAGGAUGUGGGAUUGCGAAGACAACCAGGAGGUUGGCUUAGAAGCAGCCACCCUUAAAAGAGUGCGUAAUAGCUCACUGGUCAAGUGAUUCCGCGCCGACAAUGUAGCGGGGCUCAAGUACACCGCCGAAGUUGUGGAUUUCGUAUAGUAGACAAGCCUUCGUGGUUCAGUCGUACGGAGUGGUAGGGGAGCGUCGUGUGGGCAGUGAAGUCGCGGUGUAAACCAGCGGUGGAGCCCACACGAGUGAGAAUGCAGGCAUGAGUAGCGAAAGACGGGUGAGAAACCCGUCCGCCGAAUGAUCAAGGGUUCCAGGGUCAAGCUAAUCUGCCCUGGGUAAGUCGGGACCUAAGGCGAGGCCGACAGGCGUAGUCGAUGGACAACGGGUUGAUAUUCCCGUACCGGCGAAAAACCGCCAAUACCAAGCAGGGGACACUAACCGCCCGAGACCUGCCCGACCGCCCUUGUGGUGGAAGGGUUUUGGUGGAGCGCGGGACCUGAUCCUGGGAGGUAAGCGUAUUAACAGGUGUGACGCAGGAAGGUAGCCGAGCCGGGCGAUGGUUGUCCCGGUCUAAGGAUGUAGGGCGGGCCGUAGGCAAAUCCGCGGCCCUUAAAUGCCUGAGAUCUGAUGGGACUCCCGUAAAGGGGGGAUUCGGUGAUCCUAUGCUGCCUAGAAAAGCAUCGGCGCGAGGUUUUAGCCGCCCGUACCCCAAACCGACACAGGUGAUCAGGUAGAGAAUACUAAGGCGAUCGAGAGAAUUAUGGUUAAGGAACUCGGCAAAAUGCCCCCGUAACUUCGGGAGAAGGGGGGCCCCACCCGUGAUGGAACUUUUCGUUCCGGAGCGGUUCAGGGCCGCAGAGACCAGGGGGAAGCGACUGUUUACUAAAAACACAGGUCCGUGCGAAGUCGCAAGACGAUGUAUACGGACUGACUCCUGCCCGGUGCUGGAAGGUUAAGAGGACCGGUUAGCCGCAAGGCGAAGCUGAGAAUUUAAGCCCCAGUAAACGGCGGUGGUAACUAUAACCAUCCUAAGGUAGCGAAAUUCCUUGUCGGGUAAGUUCCGACCUGCACGAAUGGAGUAACGACUUCCCCGCUGUCUCAACCAUAAACUCGGCGAAAUUGCAGUACGAGUAAAGAUGCUCGUUACGCGCAGCAGGACGGAAAGACCCCGAGACCUUUACUAUAGUUUGGUAUUGGUGUUCGGAGUGGCUUGUGUAGGAUAGGUGGGAGACUGUGAAGCUGCAACGCUAGUUGUGGUGGAGUCAUCGUUGAAAUACCACUCUGGUCACUUUGGACAUCUAACUUCGGCCCGUAAUCCGGGUCAGGGACAGUGCCUGAUGGGUAGUUUAACUGGGGCGGUUGCCUCCUAAAGAGUAACGGAGGCGCCCAAAGGUUCCCUCAGCCUGGUUGGCAAUCAGGUGUCGAGUGUAAGUGCACAAGGGAGCUUGACUGUGAGAGAGACAUCUCGAGCAGGGACGAAAGUCGGGACUAGUGAUCCGGCGGCACAUUGUGGAAUGGCCGUCGCUCAACGGAUAAAAGGUACCUCGGGGAUAACAGGCUGAUCUUGCCCAAGAGUCCAUAUCGACGGCAUGGUUUGGCACCUCGAUGUCGGCUCGUCGCAUCCUGGGGCUGGAGUAGGUCCCAAGGGUUGGGCUGUUCGCCCAUUAAAGCGGUACGCGAGCUGGGUUUAGAACGUCGUGAGACAGUUCGGUCCCUAUCCGCUGCGCGCGCAGGAAAUUUGAGAAGGGCUGUCCUUAGUACGAGAGGACCGGGACGGACGAACCUCUGGUGUGUCAGUUGUACUGCCAAGUGCACCGCUGAUUAGCUACGUUCGGAUGGGAUAACCGCUGAAAGCAUCUAAGCGGGAAGCUCGCUUCGAGAUGAGAUUUCCAUGGACCUUGUGUCCGAGAGGCUCCCAGCCAGACCACUGGGUUGAUAGGCCGGAUGUGGAAGCGAGGACUAACGACUCGUGAAGCUGACCGGUACUAAUAAGCCGAUAACUUACACC
This 3127-nucleotide ribosomal RNA is filed under the name Arthrobacter sp. 35W. RNAcentral's name for it is "bacterial LSU rRNA". It matches the Rfam family "Bacterial large subunit ribosomal RNA". Lineage: Bacteria; Bacillati; Actinomycetota; Actinomycetes; Micrococcales; Micrococcaceae. The record is from RNAcentral.